UUUCCCUCGCAUGGGGGGUUGAGGAAAGUUUUUCGGUUUGGGAGGGUCUCGCGGCCUAUCAGCUAGUUGGUGGGGUAAUGGCCUACCAAGGCAACGACGGGUAGCUGGUUUGAGAGAACGAUCAGCCACACUGGAACUGAGACACGGUCCAGACUCCUACGGGAGGCAGCAGUGGGGAAUCUUGCGCAAUGGGCGAAAGCCUGACGCAGCAACGCCGCGUGCGGGAUGAAGGCCUUCGGGUUGUAAACCCGCUUUCAGCAGGGACGAAGAUGACGGUACCUGCAGAAGAAGCUCCGGCUAACUACGUGCCAGCAGCCGCGGUAAUACGU
RNAcentral lists this ribosomal RNA (329 nucleotides) under uncultured bacterium. RNAcentral's name for it is "bacterial SSU rRNA". It matches the Rfam family "Bacterial small subunit ribosomal RNA", at positions 173 to 528 of the family's 1533-position model. The record is from RNAcentral.